This 496-nucleotide ribosomal RNA is filed under the name uncultured bacterium. RNAcentral's name for it is "partial 16S ribosomal RNA". It matches the Rfam family "Bacterial small subunit ribosomal RNA", at positions 29 to 507 of the family's 1533-position model. The record is from RNAcentral.
AUGCACGCUGGCGGCGUGCCUAAUCCAUGCCGGUCGAGCGAACGGACGAGAAGCUUGCUUCUCUGAUGUUAGCGGCGGACGGGUGAGUAACACGUGGAUAACCUACCUAUAAGACUGGGAUAACUUCGGGAAACCGGAGCUAAUACCGGAUGAUAUUUUGAACCGCAUGGUUCAAAAGUGAAAGACGGUCUUGCUGUCACUUAUAGAUGGAUCCGCGCUGCAUUAGCUAGUUGGUAAGGUAACGGCUUACCAAGGCAACGAUGCAUAGCCGACCUGAGAGGGUGAUCGGCCACACUGGAACUGAGACACGGUCCAGACUCCUACGGGAGGCAGCAGUAGGGAAUCUUCCGCAAUGGGCGAAAGCCUGACGGAGCAACGCCGCGUGAGUGAUGAAGGUCUUCGGAUCGUAAAACUCUGUUAUUAGGGAAGAACAUAUGUGUAAGUAACUGUGCACAUCUUGACGGUACCUAAUCAGAAAGCCACGGCUAACUACGUG